GUCUUUUUGAUUAUAAUUUAAAGUCCAAUCUGCCCAAUGAUUAUUUUAAUGGCUGCGGUAAUUUGACUGUACAAAGGUAGCAUAAUAAUUAGUUUUUUAAAUGGGAACUUGUAUGAAGGAUUAGACGAAGGUUAAUCUGUCUCGAUUAUAUUAAUAUAAUUUUAUUUUUGAGUUAAAAAGCUUAAAUAUUUUAAAAAGACGAGAAGACCCUAUAGAUUUUUAUAUUUUAAUUGAUUUUUAUUAUUAGUAUUUAUUUUAAUUUUUUUUUAUUAUUUGGUUGGGGUGACUAAAAGAUUUAAUUAACUCUUUAGAUUUUUACCGAUGAUUUUUGAAUAUUUGAUCUUGAGUUUUUGAUUAUAAGAUUAAAUUACCUUAGGGAUAACAGCGUUAUUUUCUUUGAAAGUUCUUAUUGAUAAGAAAGUUUGCGACCUCGAUGUUGGAUUAAAAUUUAUUUUUGAUGCAGUAGUUAAAUAAUUAGGUCUGUUCGACCUUUAAAAUUUUUCGACCUUUAAAAUUUUUUGAUGCAGUAGUUAAAUAAUUAGGUCUGUUCGACCUUUAAAAUUUUUCGACCUUUAAAAUUUU
This 582-nucleotide ribosomal RNA is filed under the name Mezium affine. RNAcentral's name for it is "partial 16S ribosomal RNA". Lineage: Eukaryota; Metazoa; Arthropoda; Insecta; Coleoptera; Ptinidae. The record is from RNAcentral.